GAUGAAGAACGUAGCAAAAUGCGAUACUUGGUGUGAAUUGCAGAAUCCCGUGAACCAUCGAGUUUUUGAACGCAAGUUGCGCCCGAGGCCUUUUGGCCGAGGGCACGUCUGCCUGGGCGUCACGCAUCGCGUCGCCCCCCACAAUUCUCCGUAAAGGGAACAUGUGUUUUGGGGGCGGAUAUUGGUCUCCCGUGCUCAUGGCGUGGUUGGCCGAAAUAGGAGUCCUUUCGAUGGACGCACGAACUAGUGGUGGUCGUAAAAACCCUCGUCUUUUGUUUCGUGCUGUUGCUCGCAAGGUAAACUCUUUAAAAACCCCAAUGUGUCGUCUCUUGACGACGCUUCGACCGCGACCCCAGGUCAGGCGGGACUACCCGCUGAGUUUAAGCAUAUCAAUAAGCGGAGGA
Molecule: unclassified non-coding RNA, 404 nt
Filed under: soil metagenome
Description: partial contains 5.8S ribosomal RNA, internal transcribed spacer 2, and large subunit ribosomal RNA
Rfam family: 5.8S ribosomal RNA (bases 1-122)
Source: RNAcentral